RNAcentral lists this ribosomal RNA (463 nucleotides) under Zeugodacus atrifacies. RNAcentral describes it as "partial large subunit ribosomal RNA". It matches the Rfam family "Bacterial large subunit ribosomal RNA", at positions 1848 to 2568 of the family's 2925-position model. Lineage: Eukaryota; Metazoa; Arthropoda; Insecta; Diptera; Tephritidae. The record is from RNAcentral.
AGGUCUGACCUGCCCACUGAAAUUUUAAAUGGCCGCAGUAUCCUAACUGUGCAAAGGUAGCAUAAUCAUUAGUCUUUUAAUUGAAGGCUGGUAUGAACGGUUGGACGAGGUAUAAGCUGUUUCAUAUAAAUUUAUAAUAGAAUUUUAUAUUUUAGUCAAAAAGCUAAAAUAUUAUUAAAAGACGAGAAGACCCUAUAAAUCUUUAUAUUUCAUUAUAUUUAAAUUUUUCAGAUUUGUUUUAUUUUUAUAUGAUAAAAUAUUUUGUUGGGGUGAUGUUAAAAUUUAAUGAACUUUUAAUUUUUUUAAAACAUUAAUUUAUGAGCUAUUGAUCCAUUAUUAGUGAUUAUAAGAUUAAGUUACUUUAGGGAUAACAGCGUAAUUUUUUUGGAGAGUUCAUAUCGAUAAAAAAGUUUGCGACCUCGAUGUUGGAUUAAGAUAUAAUUUUAGGUGUAGCCGCUUAAAU